UACUUGGGACAUACUGUGAGGAUGUUAUUAGCCAAAUGUCAGAAUUAGCCAAAUGCUUUCACAUCUUCCUGCAAUCUAGUCUUGUGUUUAUGAGAAUCCUUUCUGAAUUCUCUUGACUCACAGUGGACCUUUUUUUCCCUUAGAAAUCAAGUGUAGUUUUCCAACCACUGUAUUAUCUAUUUCAUAGCUGGGGAAACUGCUGAACCUCAGCAAAAUAAAUUGGUGACAGAAGCAAGAACUAAAAAUGAGAUCUCUCUCUGGGCCUCAUAUGCUAUUACAGCAUACAUUGCCUUGAAAACAUUUUUGGUAGCAAUAAAAGUAAAAUGAUUUUGGUGAAAAUGAGUCUAUACUGGAAAAUCAGGUUGAAUUCCCUUUGUUUAUAAGUGUCCUUAGGGAUAUGACCAAGACAAAUUAUUUCCUAUACAGUGAGGAAGGAAACAGAAGUCUAACAUACACUAAUCAAAAUGCUAUCUUCUUAUGUACCAAAUUCCAAUAUUAGAAUAUUAAGACUUUAAUGCCAGUGGCACGACUAUCAUUUUGGUAUUGACUGAUUUGUUUAAUCAACCAAUCUUUAUUUGGUGUCUAUUAUGGGUUACAAACUAUGCGAUAUCCUAAAAAUAACUACAAAUUAAGGGCUUAAUGCUUAGGUAUUUACUUUUUAAAAAAAUGUUAAGUAUUUGCUUUUUUUCUUUUUUAAUAUCUGUGCAGAAGGAGCACUGGGCUGUGACUCAGGAGAUCUGGGUUGUUUUCCGGCGGAUACAUUAUUCCUUUCUCAAGUGCGGACAAUGACGUCUGCCCUUGCUCCCCUGGGAAGGCCCCCUGGCAGGGUGAGAUGGGUGCUGAAACUGAGUGGCAAGAAAGAGCCAGCCAAUUAAGAGCUUUCCAGGGAAUGGGAAGAAACAGUCAAAAGGUUGGUCAGACUAGUGAGCCAGGGGAGCAGAGAAAACACUUGGGAAUGGAGGCGCAGUGUGGAGGAAGAGCUUCCACAGCAAUGUUUAAGAAAGCAAACGAGUAAAGCAGGGACACAGUUUUAUCUUUAAAACCUCGAACACUGCUAGGCACACAGUGUAUGCUGGAUCAGGAUUUGCUGAAUGAAUGACUGAAUGAACUGAAGGGCAUAACCCAGAAUUAAUACAAUGUCACUGAUUUUUUAGAAGAAUCAUACCGUCUGUUGGGCAGAGAAUGGACUGAAGGGAGGUGGACAGGAAGGAAACAAGGGGACUGAGUAGGAGCCGUGCAAGAAUUUGGGCAGGAAAUGACGGCAGGCUGGCCUGGGGCGGUGGUUGCAGACAGGAUGACACUCGAUGCGUCGCAUACGAAGUGAUUAGUGGCAGAAAGGACUCCUGAGGAAUUCUUGGGUUUUGUCUUAAUCUCCUGGAAGAUGGCAGCGCUUCUGACAGAUGUAGCCAGUAUUGGGCUUGGGUGAGGUACCAAGCAGGGAGGGUUUAGGACUGACCCUGGAGGGCUGUGACUUUAAAAGGUGAGUGUAGAAGAGCCAGCCAGGGGAGUGUGCUGUGGAGGAGCCAGGAAUGGAGACGGUCUGAAGUUGAAGGUAGGCGUCAACCAUGACACACUCUGCAAGUGGUCAAGGUGAAAAGGAGGUGACCAGAUCUGGCAAUGUGGAGGUGACCGGUCACUGUGAGGACAGCAGGCCUGGUGGAGCGGUGGGGAUGCGAUCCCAACUGCAGGAGGCCAAGCAGAGGGUGGAAGGUGGCAAGCUGGAAAGAAUAACUCUAAAAAAUUCUUUGAAGGAGCUCUGCUAUGUAUGGGAAUAGAGCAAUUGGACUGUAGCUAAAUGGGAUGUGGGAUCAAGAGGGUGAUUGUUUCGGUGUGUUUUGUUUUUAAAGAUGAGGAAAUCAUGAAAUGCUUGCUAGGUGACCUAGUCGGAGAGUGGGGAGGAGGAACGGCUAGUACAGGAGAGAGAGGUAAGAAUUAACAGGAACAACAACCUAGUAAAGGUGAGGGGGUUAGACUCAGGGGAGAGGUGGCUCCUCAGCUGGGCAAAGAAAUUUAACCCACCAAGUCCGGAUGGAAGGCUGCCAAUGUGGGCACAGGCACAGGUGGGCUGGCACUUGGUGCAAAGGUGAGAGGGUUCUGGUUUCUUCUGUUUUCAACAGAGUGUGAAGCAAGGGUGUUGCAUGAGUAAGGGGAGGGAAGGAGUGUUGGGGGUUUAGAAAUAGAAAGCAUGGAAUCAUCAUUUACAGAGUGGGAGAAUAAAAUUGUAGGAAAUAUAGGAUUACUGGGCUGGGUUGAGAGUCCAUUUCAUAUGGUUGCGAGACUUUUGGUGGCAUGACACGUAGUCCCAUAUAUGGUGGGGGACAAGGUCAGUGUCAUAAGCUUGAGAGAGGAGGCAAAGGAAGAAGGAGAUGGUUCUCUCUUUAAGGAGCAGGCAGCCUGCCAAUGAGAUGUUGUCGUGCUCCACAGCCAGGUGCAGUGCUGUGCGCCCGGACUUCUGCUCCUGAGCAUUGACGUCAGCCCCAGCGGCCACCAGCAGCAGCAAACAUGGCAGGCUAUUGCUCAUCAUGGCUAGAUGAAUGGCAUUCAGACCUAGAGUCCAAGCAAAGGGACAGUCACAGGAUGGGAUGGCUAACUCACAAGAUGGCCCUUGUGAAGCUGAAGGAAAUGGCAAAAACUGAAUCAUGGGGAGGGACAGUAAAGAUACUAUAAGUCUAUUGUUCUGCUUUGAAGACCCACAGUCUCCUAUUAUGUUCUCAGGAGACAUGAACAUAAAUAAACAUUCUCUGAAUAAACGACGCUUUGUGUACUUCAAGAUGAAUCUUUACUCAGGCCUCUGCUUUCUCCUCCUACUAACUAUUCCAAAUCAUCUUUAAAAAAAUUAGCUUUGGUGAGCAACAGAAAUGCCCAAAAGAGAUGAUGAACUCCAGGUGACUAAGGAAAGCACUUUUGGGUGCAAAUCAAAUAACACACGUUUAUCAAAUACCUAGUAGAUAUUUAGAAGGUGGAGAAAGUUACACCAAUGAUGUGUGAUUGUCUCUUA
RNAcentral lists this long non-coding RNA (2998 nucleotides) under Homo sapiens (human). Its description in RNAcentral is "HSALNT0321171". The record is from RNAcentral. Lineage: Eukaryota; Metazoa; Chordata; Mammalia; Primates; Hominidae.